Molecule: long non-coding RNA, 220 nt
Filed under: Capsicum annuum
Lineage: Eukaryota; Viridiplantae; Streptophyta; Magnoliopsida; Solanales; Solanaceae
Description: long non-coding RNA (CANN_LNC014361)
Source: RNAcentral
AGCUUCAGUACCAUCAGAUUCAGAGAUCACCCGCUAGAUUGGACUGAUCUCAGACUAAGUCAAAUCAUAUUCAUUAUUAGUGUAUACAGAGAUCACCCGCUAGAUAGGACUAGUCUCAAAUUAAGAUAAGUACUCUCAUUAUCAGUAGAUACAGAGAUCACCCGCUAUAUAGGAUGGAUCUCAGAUUUUAGUCGAGCAUUCCCAUUAUCAUUAGAUUCAG